AUUACACAGAUGUUGGUUCAGAUGAUGGAGUUCAGAUGUGUAAUUGCCAAACAACAAUGUCUUGUUUUGAACACAGAGCACAACAGAAAAUCAUGAAACGGAGAAUCUGUCUGCACCUGAUCCUGAUGUUUCACAGACACAGAUAUGAGAAUCCAACCUGUGUACAUUUAUCCUGUAACAAGCUGAUACUGAAUACUACAUUGUAAGUACAGCUAUUAUGUAAAUGUGUUGUGUUAUUAAAAAUGCACUUUUUUCUUCAUCUUUGAGUUUUCCGUUAAAUAAGAGGGAGCUGAACAUGUUUAGUAAAUCUAUUGCAUCAGUGGUUUGAAGCCCACAUAUUUUCUGUUUCAGCUAAUAUUAAAGUUAAACAGAUCUGUACAACAUUUAAAGCUAUGUAAAUGUAUUAAUGUAACAUUUAAGACACUCCAGCAGUUUGUAUGGCAUCUUAAUUGCUUUAGCUUAUGUGUGUGUAUGUGCAUUUCAAUAAUAAUAAAUGUUGAGAGUACUUUCUAUUGAAGUCUCCAAGAUUAUGAGAUAUAAUCAUCAUAUAUCACAAUAAAAAUCAUGAGACCACAAAA
Molecule: long non-coding RNA, 578 nt
Organism: Carassius carassius (crucian carp)
Lineage: Eukaryota; Metazoa; Chordata; Actinopteri; Cypriniformes; Cyprinidae
Exons: 2
Source: RefSeq, a predicted model, not a curated record